Molecule: ribosomal RNA, 427 nt
Filed under: Phrynoidis asper (giant Asian toad)
Lineage: Eukaryota; Metazoa; Chordata; Amphibia; Anura; Bufonidae
Description: partial 12S ribosomal RNA
Rfam family: Bacterial small subunit ribosomal RNA
Source: RNAcentral
CUUUUACUUACAGCCAAAUCGCCAGGGAACUACGAGCUAAGCUUAAAACCCAAAGGACUUGACGGUACCCCAAAUCCCCCUAGAGGAGCCUGUCCUAUAAUCGAUAAUCCACGUUUAACCUCACCACUUUUAGCCAACCAGUCUGUAUACCUCCGUCGUCAGCUUACCCCGUGAGCGUCAAUUAGUGAGCCCAAUGUUAAUUCACCAAUACGUCAGGUCAAGGUGCAGCAAAUGAAGUGGGAAGAGAUGGGCUACACUCUCUAUAUUAGAAAAAACGAAAAACUACCUAUGAAACCUAGUUAGAAGGCGGAUUUAGCAGUAAAAAGGAAUCAGCAUAUCCUUUUUAACCCGGCACUGGGGUGUGUACACACCGCCCGUCACCCUCUUCAAAGCUAAGAACAUAGUUUUUAACAAACCCAAACAUGAC